AUAAUAAAGACUUCGGAUUUGACUACAGAAAUUUCAAUAUAGUGCAUUACUUUCGAAACAGCGUAAUCGGUGCAAAAAUUUACUUACUGAAUGAGGAUAUGAAUCACCUGAAUGCAGCGAAACUGCAUCGAAAGAGGAUGCUAUGGCUCGAUAGAAUUGUGAAAAUAUUGGUCGGCACUCUCAUUAUGUGGAUAAUAUAUGAUAAAUAUUAAUGUGUAUUAAUUGUUUUAUAAAAAAAAAUUUGAUUUAACAAUUGCGGUUGCACCAAAUAUAUAAUCUAGAUUGUUAUUAAGUUUAGAUAAUUACUGUAUAAACAUUAAUAAACUAAUUAUAAUAAUACAAAUUUAUAUCAA
Non-coding RNA from Nylanderia fulva, 353 nucleotides. NCBI's taxonomy places the organism in Eukaryota, Metazoa, Arthropoda, Insecta, Hymenoptera, Formicidae. The record is from RefSeq and is a predicted model, not a curated record.